This 408-nucleotide ribosomal RNA is filed under the name uncultured bacterium. RNAcentral describes it as "bacterial SSU rRNA". It matches the Rfam family "Bacterial small subunit ribosomal RNA", at positions 9 to 416 of the family's 1533-position model. The record is from RNAcentral.
GAGUUUGAUCGUGGCUCAGAGUGAACGCUGGCGGCAGGCCUAACACAUGCAAGUCGAACGGCAGCGGGUCAGUAGCAAUACUGAUGCCGGCGAGUGGCGGACGGGUGAGGAAUACAUCGGAAUCUACCUUGUCGUGGGGGAUAACGUAGGGAAACUUACGCUAAUACCGCAUACGAACCAUGGUUGAAAGCGGCGGACCGCAAGGCGUCGCGCGAUUGGAUGAGCCGAUGUCCGAUUAGCUAGUUGGCGGGUAAAGGCCACCAAGGCGACGAUCGGUAGCUGGUCUGAGAGGAUGAUCAGCCACACUGGAACUGAGACACGGUCCAGACUCCUACGGAGGCAGCAGUGGGGAAUAUUGGACAAUGGGCGUAAGCCUGAUCCAGCCAUGCCGCGUGUGUGAAGAAGGCC